Molecule: ribosomal RNA, 254 nt
Filed under: uncultured bacterium
Lineage: Bacteria
Description: partial 16S ribosomal RNA
Rfam family: Bacterial small subunit ribosomal RNA
Source: RNAcentral
GACGUAGGGCGCGAGCGUUGUCCGGAUUCAUUGGGCGUAAAGAGCUCGUAGGCGGCUUGGCAAGUCGGGUGUGAAACCUCCAGGCUCAACCUGGAGACGCCACCCGAUACUGCCAUGGCUAGAGUCCGGUAGGGGACCACGGAAUUCCUGGUGUAGCGGUGAAAUGCGCAGAUAUCAGGAGGAACACCGGUGGCGAAGGCGGUGGUCUGGGCCGGAACUGACGCUGAGGAGCGAAAGCGUGGGGAGCGAACAGG